Molecule: ribosomal RNA, 1049 nt
Filed under: Labrus bergylta (ballan wrasse)
Lineage: Eukaryota; Metazoa; Chordata; Actinopteri; Labriformes; Labridae
Description: SSU rRNA
Rfam family: Eukaryotic small subunit ribosomal RNA
Source: RNAcentral
CCUGGUUGAUCCUGCCAGUAGCAUAUGCUUGUCUCAAAGAUUAAGCCAUGCAAGUCUAAGUACACACGGCCGGUACAGUGAACUGCGAAUGGCUCAUUAAAUCAGUUAUGGUUCCUUUGAUCGCUCCAACGUUACUUGGAUAACUGUGGCAAUUCUAGAGCUAAUACAUGCCAACGAGCGCUGACCUUCGGGGAUGCGUGCAUUUAUCAGACCCAAAACCAUGCGGGGUUACCCCUCGGGGUGCCCGGCCGCUUGGUGACUCUAGAUAACCUCGAGCCGAUCGCUGGCCCCGUGGCGGCGACGUCUCAUUCGAAUGUCUGCCUAUCAACUUUCGAUGGUACUUUCUGUGCUACCAUGGUGACCACGGGUAACGGGGAAUCAGGGUUCGAUUCCGGAGAGGGAGCCUGAGAAACGGCUACCACAUCAGGAAGGCAGCAGGCGCGCAAAUUACCCACUCCGACUCGGGGAGGUAGUGACGAAAAAUAACAAUACAGGACUCUUUCGAGGCCUGUAAUUGGAAUGAGUACACUUUAAAUCCUUUAACGAGGAUCCAUUGGAGGGCAAAGUCUGGUGCCAGCAGCCGCGGUAAUUCCAGCUCCAAUAGCGUAUCUUAAAGUUGCUGCAGUUAAAAAGCUCGUAGUUGGAUCUCGGGAUGAGCUGACGGUCCGCCGCGAGGCGAGCUAACCGUCUGUCCCAGCCCCUGCCUCUCGGCGCCCCCUCGAUGCUCUUAGCUGAGUGUCCCGCGGGGUCCGAAGCGUUUACUUUGAAAAAAUUAGAGUGUUCAAGCAGGCCGGUCGCCUGAAUACGCAGCUAGGAAUAAUGGAAUAGGACUCCGGUUCUAUUUUGUGGGUUUUCUUUCUGAACUGGGGCAUGAUUAAGAGGGAGGCCGGGGGCAUUCGUAUUGUGCGCUAGAGGUGAAAUUCUUGGACCGGCGCAAGACGGACGAAAGCGAAAGCAUUUGCCAAGAAUGUUUUUCAUUAAUCAAGAACGAAAGUCGGAGGUUCGAAGACGAUCAGAUAUCCGUCGUAGUUCCGACAUAACGAUGCCAA